CCAGGAAUCGGCCCGUCCCCCUCCCUACCCACUGCAAAAAUAUUUGCGCAGGUGGAUGAUAAGAGAGGAGGCAGGUUUGUCUGAAGGGAGCAGAAGACUUUGGCCCCACAACGCCGGAGAGCAAAGUUCGGGGCCAGGAAUGGGAGGAGGAAGGGAGAGGUGGAUCUAAGCCACCCAGGACCUGAGAGGAGGAGGAGGCCUCGAUGAAGCAGUGGGAGCCAUCUUAGUUUCAGAAAGAUGUCCAGGGAGGCACAUCUCAGAGUGGGGAGGGCUGCAGCUGCCAGCCCGUGGGGACAACGGGGGGCUGGAUGGCCCCUCGGCCACCUCUGUUGGGCAACUGCCAGCGUUCCCGUUUAAAUCAUCCCUGUGUUCAGAACCAUGGAGGACUAGAAUCUUGCCUUCUGCUUUGGGGGACACCAGCUGCUCACUGGCGGAAAACCAGAAGCGACCAGUUCCAGUCCUGAGGGAGGGCUGGCACCCUGGGGGACUUCUGUCCGUCUCGGCAAGAUCGGUCUCCAGCCCAGCGCUCUGCAGAGGUGCUGGACUACGGCUCCCAUAAUCCCCUCCUGCACACGCGUGGUGCUUUACUUGCCGGGCGACGCACAUCAGUAAACAGACGAGGAGGAAGGGGUGCGGAGUCAGCUGGACUGGCUCGCCGUGGCCUUUCAGAUCCCUGUGCACUUAAAAUACCGGCAGUCGGACCCCCAGCGGAGCUCAGCCAAGGCGCCCAGACCCGUGACCGUGUUGUCUCUGCAGAUGGAGGGGGACAGGCUUGCCGUGCCUCUGGGCAUGGGCGAGCGCGUGGAGCGCAGCAGCAUCUCCUCCGCCGGCCCCCGAACCCAGGACGUCCUGGUGUACCUCGUCGACGACACGGUGGUGCGGCUAACCGUGGACAACCUGCCCUCGGCCACGGCCCACGAGCUGCACCGGAUUCUGCUGGCUACCUUGAGGCUGCCCGAAAGCGCUCUGGAGAUAUUCUCGCUGUGGCUGGCUUCCCCCUUCCUCGAAGUGCAGCUGAAGCCGAAACACCAGCCCUACAAGGUCUGCCGGCAAUGGCAGGAACUGCUCUUCCGAUUCACCAGCUGCUCCUCAGAUGAGAUACUCGAAGAUGAGCCUUCGCUACAGUUCCGAAGAAACAUCUUCUUCUCAAAAAGGAAGGAAAUGCAGAUCCAGGACGAGGACAUUCUGCGGCUCUUGUACGAGGAGGCCAAGUUCAACAUCCUGGAGGGGAGGUAUCCGUUCGACCUGGUGGACUGCGAGGCACUGGGGGCCCUGGUUUGCCGGGUGAACUUGGGCCCCUACGACCCAAACCUGCACACGGCCUUCUUCUUAAAGGAGCGGCUGGACUCCUUCCUGCCUGCCCACCUGUGCCGGAGAGGACACGGGCUGCUCGCGGCCCUGUGGAGGCGUGGGGGUGCCCGCCCCCCCGCCGACGAACAGGGCCUGCUGCGCGCCUUCCGGGGGGUGCCGGAGGAGGGCGCCUGCGAAGCCCCCCUGCCCCUGCCCAAGCUGUACCGCGCUUACCUGCAGAAGUGCCACGAACUGCCUUACUACGGAUGUGCCUUCUUCUCCGGGGAGAUAGAGAAGCCGGCGCAGGGCCUGCUGCACCGAGGCGGACGCAAGGCCGUGAUGGUCGCCAUCAGCCUGGAGGGCGUGUACAUCAUUGACAGCAAGGAGAAGCAUGUUUUGCUAGGCCUGCGCUUCCAGGAGCUGUCCUGGGAUCACACGUUCCCCAGUGAAGAGGAGCACAUCCUCUGGCUGGAGUUUGACGGGGAGAACGAAGGCAUCCCAGUCAACAAGUUGCUCAAGGUCUACUCUAAGCAGGCUGAACUGAUGAGCGGGCUGAUCGAAUUCUGCAUCGAGCUGAACGCGGCUGCCGAGGGGAUGGAGCACGACCCCGCUGCCGGUGCAGCCCCGUCCUCUGAGGCCCAGCAUCCCCCGUCUGACAGGCAGCGCCCCAAACUGCAGCGCCAGAACAGUGUCCUUCGCAGCCGCAUCCAACACCUUUCCACCAUUGACUACAUUGAGGACGGGAAGGACAUCAAGAGGGUGAAGCCGCGCCGGACAACCUCCUUCUUCGGCCGCCAGCUGUCCAAUGCUCCCACCUCCUACUCCGCAGUGCGGGCGGUAGAGAACCUGGAGCAGGGGUGACCCCCUUCCAGCCGCGGGCAUCGACGGGACCAGCCGACCUGAGCAGAAGGGGGCGUGUGCUGGGUUCCCCCCGGGUCUCCUCCACCGUCUCCCACCUGCCCUCCCGUUCGUCUCCAGUCUGCUGUGCUGUUGUUGUUCAGCCUGGCUCUUGCCCCCGGUGGGCUGCAGCUUGGAUGAGAGGAACGUGCCUCAUCACACGUCACUGGGAUCCCCCGGCGGAUCGUUUCUGGCGUGCACAGAAGGUGCUUCAGGGAUCUGCGCCGCUUCCCCUCCCUCGUCGCCCUGCCUCCAGGUGCUGGACUGCCCUUUCCCCAGAGCGGCCAAAUGCCCCUUCGUCUCCAGCCCAGCCUCUCCUCGCCAGCGUCUUCCUGGAGCCAAACCGCAUCCCAGGACCUGUGGAGGAAUCUUCCCCUGGCAGUGCCGGAAGGGGAAAAGCUGAGCCGCACCCCGUGGGGAAACCUGCCCCAGGCGCAGCCUCUCCCUUUGGUAUGCCCACCUCUUGCACUUAGAGCCUGUUUCGCAGGUCAGCUGCUUGUUGGCUCUAGCAAGCGAUUUUCCUGCCACCAAGGAAACAUAGUCUUCCUCACAUGCAGCUUAGUGACGAGGGACCAAGAGGGGAAAUGCUGUGAAUUUUGGGGUUUCUCAUUAAAAGAGAUAUUUUUUAAUAAAUGGUGGUGGGGAAAUAAAACUUUGCUUUGCUGCAGGAGCCUCCGGAAGGCUGUUUGGAGGCUGAGAGAAACGUUUGCCUGUGAAAGCACCGGGUUGCGCUUCCUGGACGCACCUCCGCGCAGCCCCUAAUGUUCGUAUUUUUCCUGUUCUGCUCCCUUGCGGCAGCCAGAGCCCGCCUAGAGGGCCUCUGUAAACAGGAUUCUCUGCUACAGUCAGAGAAAUCGGCAUCUCCCCUCCUCAACCUCCAUGAAAUGGGCUACUGGGAAAACUCCACAAGGAAUUCCUUGAGUUGAUUUGUUCUGCACUGGGAUAGGCUCUGCCAUAAGCAGGGGCAGUUUCUUAGCAUGCAUGUGCUAUGCUUCAGUUUUUGGCAGUUUGCUGACGUCCAAAGAGCUCUUCCUGAGCAGUGGGCGCCCUGUGAACCUAAGAAGGCACCGGCUCUUCUUUCUGGACCUGUAAUGCUGCCAACUGCCCCUUGUGCACUCUGUUUUUUCACGCCAACCCUCUCCUUCCACCCCCACAACCUGAAAAGCAUUGCUGGAGAUUUUUAAUCACGUCUUUCACAGUCGGGUCCAAACCUUUGCAUUCCCCUCUGGUGCUGGACCUCUGCACCCGGGACACUACUCGGACAAUGAUGCUGUCAAAAAACGAUGCACCGGAUUAACAAGCACCCCUUUCGUUGAGUUUGUCUCGAUUUCCAGAAAGUGCUCUCCCUGGGCCACCCCGAAGCAACACUUUCCAAAGUGCCUUUUCCUAAUCUCAGUGAAGCGGACUCUCAGCCACACUGCAGAGGGCAUUGCUCAUAGCAAUAAAGACCAUGAAUUUCA
Molecule: RNA transcript, 3647 nt
Organism: Varanus komodoensis (Komodo dragon)
Lineage: Eukaryota; Metazoa; Chordata; Lepidosauria; Squamata; Varanidae
Gene: FRMD8
Gene name: FERM domain containing 8
Exons: 11
Source: RefSeq, a predicted model, not a curated record